Molecule: ribosomal RNA, 518 nt
Filed under: uncultured bacterium
Lineage: Bacteria
Description: bacterial SSU rRNA
Rfam family: Bacterial small subunit ribosomal RNA
Source: RNAcentral
AGAGUUGAUCAUGGCUCAGGAUGAACGCUGGCGGCAGGCUUAAUACAUGCAAGUCGAACGGUAAGGCCGAGUGCAGCAAUGCAUGAGGUACACGAGUGGCGCACGGGUGCGUAACGCGUAUGCAACCUGCCCCGCACCGGGACAAAACAGCUGGAAACGGCUGCUAAUAUCCCAUAGUCACCAGGAAGGGCAUCCUUUCGGGUGUAAAGAUUUAUUGGUACGGGAUGGGCAUGCGUAUUAUUAGGUAGUUGGCGGGUAACGGCCACCAAGCCGACGAUGAUUAGGGGUCCUGAGAGGGUUAUCCCCCACACUGGAACUGAGACACGGUCCAGACUCCUACGGGAGGCAGCAGUAGGGAAUAUUGGGCAAUGGGAGCAAUCCUGACCCAGCCAUGCCGCGUGAAGGAAGACGGCCCUAUGGGUUGUAAACUUCUUUUGCCGCAGAGUAAACCCGGCCACGUGUGGUCGGUUGAGAGUAUGCGGCGAAUAAGUAUCGGCUAACUCCGUGCCAGCAGCAGC